RNAcentral lists this ribosomal RNA (457 nucleotides) under uncultured Anoxybacillus sp. Its description in RNAcentral is "bacterial SSU rRNA". It matches the Rfam family "Bacterial small subunit ribosomal RNA", at positions 925 to 1382 of the family's 1533-position model. The record is from RNAcentral. Lineage: Bacteria; Bacillati; Bacillota; Bacilli; Caryophanales; Anoxybacillaceae.
ACAAGCGGUGGAGCAUGUGGUUUAAUUCGAAGCAACGCGAAGAACCUUACCAGGUCUUGACAUCCCCUGACAACCGAGAGAUCGGGCGUUCCCCUUCGGGGGACAGGGUGACAGGUGGUGCAUGGUUGUCGUCAGCUCGUGUCGUGAGAUGUUGGGUUAAGUCCCGCAACGAGCGCAACCCUCGACCUUAGUUGCCAGCAUUCAGUUGGGCACUCUAAGGUGACUGCCGGCUAAAAGUCGGAGGAAGGUGGGGAUGACGUCAAAUCAUCAUGCCCCUUAUGACCUGGGCUACACACGUGCUACAAUGGCCGGUACAAAGGGGCGCAAGACCGCGAGGUGGAGCAAAUCCCAAAAAACCGGUCUCAGUUCGGAUUGGAGUCUGCAACUCGACUCCAUGAAGUUGGAAUCGCUAGUAAUCGCGUAUCAGCAUGACGCGGUGAAUACGUUCCCGGGCCUU